RNAcentral lists this long non-coding RNA (439 nucleotides) under Brassica napus (rape). RNAcentral's name for it is "long non-coding RNA (BNAP_LNC024584)". Lineage: Eukaryota; Viridiplantae; Streptophyta; Magnoliopsida; Brassicales; Brassicaceae. The record is from RNAcentral.
GUCUCUUAUUACUGGGUAGUUAUAUCAGCUGGUGCAGGGAGAACUUGUUUGAGGAAAUGCUCCAAGAGACAGAUAGCAGCAGUUAAGAGAACCUCACAUUCUUCAGCAAGCUAACAGGGAAUGUUCUCAGCCAGACCUAAUUGUGUAUAUGCAACUCUCUCGUUCUGUUCACCAAAAAGAUCAAUGGAUACCAGUUUGGAUCUGAUUUUUUUAUCUUCUAAGUAUAACAUUUGUUUUAUUAACCAAUUUAUAGUCCGGUCUGAAUUGUUUGGGUUCAUGCUAGAUUCUUGAAACCCUUCAUGAAGUAAGUCAUUUUCCAUCUUAUAUGGAUACAAUAGUUUCUAAGAAAAAUUGUAUAUGAACUAAUUAUAUAUGAGAGAAAAAUAUUGAGAAACAAAUACUAUUGCUCUGAACAGAUUAGAGCACUUCCAUUAAUGAC